CUAGUAACGGCGAGUGAAGAGGAAAGAGCUCAAAGUUGUAACCUAUUUGGCUUAGCCAAAUCGGAUUGUAAACUGGAGAAGUGUUUUAUGGCACACCGGGUAAAGAAGUCCCUUGGAACAGGGCAUCAUAGAGGGUGAGAAUCCCGUGACUUUGCCUGAGAAUAGUUGUCAACUUUAAUACGCUUUCAAAGAGUCAGGUUGUUUGGGAAUGCAGCCUAAAUUGGGUGGUAAAUCUCACCUAAAGCUAAAUAUUGGCGAGAGACCGAUAGCGAACAAGUACCGUGAGGGAAAGAUGAAAAGAACUUUGAAAAGAGAGUUAAACAGUACGUGAAAUUGUUAAAAGGGAACCGUUUGGAGCCAGACCGGCUUUACCGUAAUCAAUCUAGGUUUCGACCUGGAUGCACUUGCGGUAUGUGCCUGCCAACGACAGUUUUUUCUGAGGGAAAAAAUUAAGAGGAAUGUGGCCCCUCGGGGUGUUAUAGCCUUUUAAAAAAUACCUUGGAUUGGACUGAGGAACGCAGCGAAUGCCAUUAGGCAAGAUUGCUGGGCGCUUUAACUGAUAGAAGCUAGAAUUUCUGCCUUGGGUGGUGCUAGUUUCUAAAGGGUAAACUCGUUUAGUAUAUUUUUUAUUCGCUUAGGUUG
Molecule: ribosomal RNA, 642 nt
Filed under: Benjaminiella youngii
Lineage: Eukaryota; Fungi; Mucoromycota; Mucoromycetes; Mucorales; Mucoraceae
Description: LSU rRNA
Rfam family: Eukaryotic large subunit ribosomal RNA
Source: RNAcentral